This 279-nucleotide ribosomal RNA is filed under the name uncultured bacterium. Its description in RNAcentral is "partial 16S ribosomal RNA". It matches the Rfam family "Bacterial small subunit ribosomal RNA", at positions 65 to 339 of the family's 1533-position model. The record is from RNAcentral.
AGGGGCAGCGAGGGAGUGGCAACACUUCUGUCGGCGACCGGCGCACGGGUGAGUAACGCGUAUGCAACCUGCCCUUCACAGGGGGAUAACCGGGAGAAAUUCCGACUAAUCCACGAUGGGACGAGUUGCUGCAUGGCAGCUCGUUGAAAGUUACGGCGGCGACGGAUUGGCUCGCGUCCGAUUAGCUGGUUGGCGGGGUAACGGCCCACCAAGGCAACGAUCAGUAGGGGUUCUGAGAGGAAGGUCCCCACAUUGGAACUGAGACACGGUCCAUACUCC